GACGAACGCUGGCGGCGUGCUUAACACAUGCAAGUCGAACGGUAAGGCCCUUCGGGGUACACGAGUGGCGAACGGGUGAGUAACACGUGGGUGAUCUGCCCUGCACUUCGGGAUAAGCCUGGGAAACUGGGUCUAAUACCGGAUAGGACCACUGCCUGCAUGGGUGGUGGUGGAAAGCUUUUGCGGGGUGGGAUGGGCGCGCGGCCUAUCAGCUUGUUGGUGGGGUGAUGGCGUACCAAGGCGACGACGGGUAGUCGGCGUGAGAGGGUGACCGGCCACCCGGUGAAUGAGGUACGGCCCAGACUCCUACGGGAGGCAGCAGUGGGGAAUAUUGCACAAUGGGCGCAAGCCUGAUGCAGCGACGCCGCGUGAGUGAUGGCGGCCUUCGGGUUGUAAACCUCUUUCGGCACCGACGAAGCGCAAGUGACGGUAGGUGCAGAAGAAGGACCGGCCAACUACGUGCCAGCCGCCGCGGUAA
RNAcentral lists this ribosomal RNA (478 nucleotides) under uncultured bacterium. Its description in RNAcentral is "partial 16S ribosomal RNA". It matches the Rfam family "Bacterial small subunit ribosomal RNA", at positions 28 to 523 of the family's 1533-position model. The record is from RNAcentral.